This 327-nucleotide ribosomal RNA is filed under the name uncultured eukaryote. RNAcentral's name for it is "partial 18S ribosomal RNA". It matches the Rfam family "Eukaryotic small subunit ribosomal RNA", at positions 1470 to 1796 of the family's 1831-position model. The record is from RNAcentral.
CCCUUAGAUGUUCUGGGCUGCACGCGCGCUACACUGAUGCGCUCAACGAGUUUAUGACCUUGCCCGGAAGGGUUGGGUAAUCUUCUUAAAACGCAUCGUGAUGGGGAUAGAUUAUUGCAAUUAUUAAUCUUCAACGAGGAAUUCCUAGUAAGCGCGAGUCAUCAGCUAAUGUUGAUUAUGUCCCUGCCCUUUGUACACACCGCCCGUCGCUACUACUGAUUGGGUGUUCAAGUGAGAUGCUUAGACCCUUGUUGCAUGGUUCAUUAUUGUGCUCCGAAAGGAAAAAGUUUCAAGCUUGAGUGUCUAGAGGAAGUAAAAGUCGUAACA